UGCCUGCAAAUUCAGGUAGCUUUUUUGAUUUUACUUUCAGAGAAAUGCCAGCAAAAGCUGUAGUCAUUUGGGGAAGAACAAGCCUGGAAGAAAAAUACACAGCAGACCAGCACCAAGAGGGUCCAUCCAUGCUGUUGCAAAUGGUAAGAUUUCAUUCUUUUUCAUGGCCGAGUAAUAUUCCAUUACAUAUCUUGACCAUAUCUUCUUUAUCUAAACAUUCUCUUUUAAGUAGUUUGGUGUCCCUUAAAGAAGUUCAGAAAGUAAGUAUUCCUGAAGUAAAACACAAAAUCAUAGGAUAACAAGACAUUGGCUCAAGGCAGUGGAGCAAAUAGAACGAUACUAUCCACUAAGAAAGUUGCAGCUCCCUAUGUACAGAUGAAUAAGACGUGUGCCCCAAAUCACUCAGCUAAAAAGAACAAAGCCAUCAUCGAAAUUUAGUGGAUGUCAUAUCAGAAGCUACAUUCUUUCUUCUGACCCCGAGGUGCUGGGCCUUACUGGAAAUAGGGUCCUACAAAGACAAAAGACACCUCUCCCUGAGCUCAGCAGAAUUCAUGUUCCCAUCUCCAGUCACUCUUUGAGUGUCCAUGUGCCCCUGAGGGGACCUCCAUCACAUCCCUCUUCUAUGAACUCAGGUUCGUCAUCUGCAGUUUCCUGGUGAUAGUGCCGGAGUCCUGCUGCCACUCAGGGGCAGUUGAUACAGUUUACCGCCCAUUUAAUGAACACACAAACUCAAGUGGAGAGGAAAGGCAUGCUGGUCUCAAGAAGACAGUCAGACCACAGUCAGCAAACACCCAUUGGCUAUGGCUCUCUCCACCAAUGGUACCAUGUAGCCAAAGUGAGAAGGUAAAAAGUGGCCCAAACUUACAGGAGCCAAGAGUCACCCCUGCCUUGCCUUGUUGGCCAGCCCCCUGCUCAGACUACAAGGCAGGAGGUGUUUCUAGUAGAGACACCUCUGGUGUAAUCUGGGGAUUAUACACCAGAAUCCAAAACAAGAGUGAGCCGUUGCUUUCCUGCUUCCUGUUCCAGUUUCACAGGCCCCUGCCAGCUACUCAGGGAUAUUAGAACAGCGAUCUGUUUUGAGUUUGGAAAGGUGUGAUGUUUCUUUAUGUGGGGGUGUUCAAUUCAUCAGAAAACAAAAGCCAGCCUCCCGCGCUUGGUGGCGCAGCGUGGAAACGUAGCACAUCCCACUCUGACAUUUCCCUUCUGCCUCCUUCGCCCCAGGGCACUAGAUUGCGGUUUCCAGGUUGUUUUGCUUUUUCUUUCUUUCCGAUUGUUUUUACUCCUCGUGCCAAGUGUCUUAAGUCACAUUAACUAAAGAUCUAGUAUUUUUUUUAAGUAGCGCAGAAAGCUGGUCUCAGCCUCUUACCAGGACUGGACAAAUGGUUCUGCCAUGUGCUGCCUGCAUGCCCUGCCCAGGGGAGGCCGUUCCUGAUGCUCCCAGAGCCGUGGACUUCGACAGCCUUUUCCCCACACCUCCACGGCUCCAGUGCCCCAAUUUCAGAGGGUUAAAUCCACUGCCUCCUACUUAUUUCUCAGAGAAGUCUGCCUUCCCAGACUCAUCUUUUCGGGCCCUCCUAGCAGUGUCUCACUGGCAACCACCUCUCCCAGGGGCCCAAAGCUAUUUGUAUGACCAUUAAAAGUGUGAGAGACCUGGCUGGUGUAGCUCAGUGGAUUGAGCACGGGCCUGUGAACCAGACAAUUGCAGUUCGAUUCCCAGUCAGGGCACAUGCCUGGGUUGCAGACCAGUUCCCUGCAGGUCAAUUCCCAGCAGGGGAUGCAUGAAAGGCAACCAUACAUUGAUGUUUCUCUCCCUCUCUCCUUCCCUUCCCCUCUAAAGAUAA
This is a long non-coding RNA of Artibeus jamaicensis (Jamaican fruit-eating bat), 1841 nucleotides long. RefSeq lists it as uncharacterized. NCBI's taxonomy places the organism in Eukaryota, Metazoa, Chordata, Mammalia, Chiroptera, Phyllostomidae. The record is from RefSeq and is a predicted model, not a curated record. The transcript has 5 exons.